AAGGUGUGAUGUGAAAGCUUUCGUGUCCCUACGUAUAGUAUUUUCUUGCAGGCUGUCUUUGCGGCAAAGACAUGGAAGGACAGAAGCUGGUUACCGUCAUUCUACUCAGCGCUCAUUUAGCCACGUUGGGAUGUAGCUUGAAACUGCCAUCAAUGAGCUACAAUAUCAGAAAGCUGACGUGCCACUAAUCCGCAUUUUAGUAAGGUCCAUCCUUAUACCAGACAUAGAGCCAUGCCUUAGCUCUGCAGUAUGGGCCCUGUUUUUUAGGUACCUCUAUUCCCAUAUGGACAUACAAGACCAGGCAAGGCGGAAAUGUUUUGUGUACAGUGGACGUAAUGAAGUCUAUGAGUCAAACUUCCAUAACGUUUGACCAUCUUUACUACGAAAAGGGCGUAAAAUGGAACGUCACAUUGAUGGGCACAUUUGAUCAACAAAAAAUGAGUCGGAUGAUUGUUCAUCCCAAGGGUGGUGCGUAUAAAAUUAUAGAAGAAAUCGUCUACUACAAUACGAAAUCCCACUGCGCUGUGAUUAGGGUCACGAUGCCUAUUACUGGCGGGCUACGCAUGUACGACCUUAGAGUUUGGAACUCAACCAGGAUACACAGCAAUGUACGCCCCUGUCUUGCAAAAUUCGAAAAACUGGAAACCCGAGGACAUUGUAUUUACGAGAACUUCUGUAAGGGGCUAUUUCAUGAGAGUUCAAAAUCGCCGCAUAUGAUUCAGCAAAAGCCACAACGUCCACUUCAAAAGUUAUAGAAAAUUGGAAGGAAAAUUUUGGUGUUGUCGUUCAGGAACAUAAACUUUGAGUACUGAUGUGUAA
This is a long non-coding RNA of Dermacentor silvarum, 819 nucleotides long. RefSeq lists it as uncharacterized. Lineage: Eukaryota; Metazoa; Arthropoda; Arachnida; Ixodida; Ixodidae. The record is from RefSeq and is a predicted model, not a curated record. The transcript has 6 exons.